RNAcentral lists this long non-coding RNA (312 nucleotides) under Carica papaya (papaya). RNAcentral's name for it is "long non-coding RNA (CPAP_LNC010184)". Lineage: Eukaryota; Viridiplantae; Streptophyta; Magnoliopsida; Brassicales; Caricaceae. The record is from RNAcentral.
CACUUUACAAUGUUGCAUAACUACGCAUCCCAGACCAAGGUGCGAUGCAUCUCAAUAAACUUGGAAUCCACUUGCAAUAUCAAGAGUGACUAAUACUAGAGUAAUAGUCAAACGACUUGAGCUCAAGGAAACUUUCUUCACAUCUUGGGCUCCAAAUAAAUUUAGCACCUUUUCUGAUAAGUUUGGUUAGUGGGCAGUGAUGUUGGAGAAACCUUCAACAAAUCGACAUUAAUAUCUUGCUAAACCAAAGAAGCUAUGGACUUCAAAAGCAUCAUUUGGUCGACUCCAAUUUAGUAUCGCUUUAACCUUAGA